UCUCCGUUGGUGAACCAGCGGAGGGAUCAUUACAGAGUUGCAAAACUCCCAAACCAUUGUGAACGUUACCUAUCCCGUUGCUUCGGCGGGCGGCCCGGGCCCCGCGCCCGGCGCCCCCCGGCCCCCCGUGGGCGCCCGCCGGAGGUAGACCAAGCCCUUGAAUUGCAUGGCCUCUCUGAGUCUUCUGUACUGAAUAAGUCAAAACUUUCAACAACGGAUCUCUUGGUUCUG
This 231-nucleotide unclassified non-coding RNA is filed under the name plant metagenome. Its description in RNAcentral is "partial contains small subunit ribosomal RNA, internal transcribed spacer 1, and 5.8S ribosomal RNA". The record is from RNAcentral.